GUAGGUGGCAAGCGUUGUCCGGAAUUAUUGGGCGUAAAGCGCGCGCAGGCGGUCCUUUAAGUCUGAUGUGAAAGCCCACGGCUCAACCGUGGAGGGUCAUUGGAAACUGGGGGACUUGAGUACAGAAGAGGAAAGCGGAAUUCCAAGUGUAGCGGUGAAAUGCGUAGAGAUUUGGAGGAACACCAGUGGCGAAGGCGGCUUUCUGGUCUGUAACUGACGCUGAGGCGCGAAAGCGUGGGGAGCAAACAGGAUUAGAUACCUUGGUAGUCCACGCCGUAAACGAUGAGUGCUAAGUGUUAGGGGGUUUCCCGCCCCCUUAGUGCUGCAGCUAGCGCAUUAAGCACUCCGCCUGGGGAGUACGGCCGCAAGGCUG
This 373-nucleotide ribosomal RNA is filed under the name uncultured organism. RNAcentral describes it as "partial 16S ribosomal RNA". It matches the Rfam family "Bacterial small subunit ribosomal RNA", at positions 527 to 896 of the family's 1533-position model. The record is from RNAcentral.